GGACAAUGAACUUAGAUCAUUUUGACCUCAAAUCAGGUAGGACUACCCGCUGAAUCCUUAAGCAUAUCAUACGGGGAAGAAAA
Molecule: ribosomal RNA, 83 nt
Filed under: Moniliophthora perniciosa
Lineage: Eukaryota; Fungi; Basidiomycota; Agaricomycetes; Agaricales; Marasmiaceae
Description: partial 28S ribosomal RNA
Source: RNAcentral